AGAAAUGGAGAACUAACAGGUAUGCAUUUCUGAAACCAUUAUUAUAUUCAAAACCAAGGAUUCGUAUAAAAGCAUAUUAAUGAUUAUGAAUCUGAUCGCUUUAAACUUUAACUAACAUGAAACUAAGCAUGACGGAAUCAGCAUUUCUUGAUUUUCUUCAAUUAGCAGAAAUAGUGUUUGUGCCUUCUAAUUAUGUAGAUAGAACUUCUGGUCUAUAAUUCAAUAGUUUAUUAUGAUUAUUGGAGUUAAAUAAAUACAAACUUACUUUUUUUUUUUUUUGUCUUUUGUAUUUUUUUAUAUCAAAUUUUAUGCAAUUUUCAAUACAUAUAUGGUAUUACUCUCACUCCCUGCAUCUCUCGUUUUGCUUAUUUAUAAAUAUAACUAAUAAUAAUUAAUUAGCACAAGGAUUUAUGGCAUGUUUGUUGGUCCAUUCUAUUGCAGUCUGAAUAAAGUUGGCCUAGUUAGGCAGUUAGCGUCGGCGAGCAAUGAACAAAUGGACACGAGCACAGUACGCACCGCAUCCAUUUGUCAUUCUGACUGAAGAGAUUCAAGGUCAUGCCAUUUGGGCUCGGCUCAAGGGCCUAUUCUGGAAUGGGCCUCAUGCCACCAGUUUACAUUAUAGAAAGCCCUUCAGGUCAAAGGCUUCCAUUGGGCCUGAUGUCAACCCGACACCUAAUAACUAAAAAUAAAAUAAUUGAGAAUUUUCUGGCGAUUUUAUUGAUAAAAAAUUGUUAAUUGCAUUUCACUGUAGCGUGAGUCCAAAUUUUGAUUAAAUCACGAGGGGCAGAAGGCGUGUUUCUUGAGGGCCGUGAAUCAUAUCACGAGGCACUCUUUCACUUGUUGUUUUGGGGUUGCCCGUGAGCUCUCGUUACCAUUUUCCACGCCAUUUAUUAAAUUACAAAGCUUUUACAUGAAUGAUCUUCAAAGUGACUGCGACCGUGAGCGAGCGUUUUGUUAUGCUUCGGUCAAAAUUAUUAAAUAAGUUAAUUGACAUAAAUUCCACGUUUUUUCAUUGACUUUUAUUUUGUGUUAAAUAUUGACCAAAAAUUAAGAAAGCAAUCAGCUCUUGUAACGUGCUCUGUUCUGUUACUCUUUCUUUUGAUAUAUCUUUACCAAUCUCGUCAGCUGUUGCUUUUCUUUUAACGUGGUCGUUGUUUGUAUUUGAUGAUCCCAAAAUACACGCAACGUAAUUUAGCAAUU
RNAcentral lists this long non-coding RNA (1200 nucleotides) under Citrus sinensis (sweet orange). RNAcentral's name for it is "long non-coding RNA (CSIN_LNC001335)". Lineage: Eukaryota; Viridiplantae; Streptophyta; Magnoliopsida; Sapindales; Rutaceae. The record is from RNAcentral.